This 11364-nucleotide long non-coding RNA is filed under the name Hordeum vulgare. Its description in RNAcentral is "long non-coding RNA (HVUL_LNC019906)". Lineage: Eukaryota; Viridiplantae; Streptophyta; Magnoliopsida; Poales; Poaceae. The record is from RNAcentral.
CAACCAAUCAGGAUUCCAUUCUAGCACCCUGUCGGAGGGGGAGAUAAUCUCCACUCGCCAUCUUCAUCCUCCCGGCGGAGACCAUAAUGAGGGAGUUGUCCACCCUCGGGGCUGAGGGUUUGUACCUGUAGCUAUGUGUUUAAUCUCUCUCUCUCUCUUGUGUUCAUGAGAUGUCAUGAUGAUGACAUAUCACAGGCCUUAUUAAUAUAGUUGGAUCAUAUGUUGUUUGUCCCAUGCUAUUGUUGUGAUGAAUUGAAUCUUUCACUUGAAGAUCUUGAUAUGUUGGAUUGAAUAUUCAGGUUUGAGAGCACAUGAUAUAUGUCUUGCAUGUGGAGACCCGUAGUGAAAUUGGGGUAUUCAAAUGAUUCACUUGAUAUAUGUUUUGGCACUCAACUCGAGGAUUCCAGGGGUGAAAUUGGGGUAAUCUAUGCAUAGGGGUUGAUGUACCUUUUCAUACUAUGUUUUCCGAUAGAAAUCUUGGGGUGCUCCUUGAAGUUCUUUGUGUUGGAUUAAAUAUGAAGAAUCUAAAAUUGUUUGAUGCAUGUUGUAUAAUUAGCCCAUGGAUACUUGGUGACAUUGGAGUAUCUAGGUUGAUUGAUAUGUAUCAAUGGUGCUAUUUUAGUACAAACUCUUGAAUAGUUUGAUCGGAAAGGAUAACUUGUUAUUCUAGUACGAACUCUUGGAAAGAUUGAUCGAAAAUAAUAACUUUGAGGUGGUUUCGUACCCUAAUUUUUUUUCUUCUUAUGUUCUCUGUCGGCCAUGCUAGGUCGACACCUAUGGGAAUAAACGUGAAACCCUUGUGAUCGUAGGGCGGGGAAAGACAAUGUCAAGAGCAGAGCUAACGGUCGGCACCCGGCAAGGCUUUUUACACAGGUUCGGCUCGUUUACGCAUAAAACCCUACGUCCUGCUCGUCUUGUUGUAUUAAGCGUUUUGUUGUUUGUUACAGUGACUGAUAAUAACCGUCUUCUGGCCAAUCUCCAAAAAGUCUAACCCAUUGUGAAUGAGAUAAGGGCCUCCUUUUAUAGGCAAAGGGGUCACCUACAGUGCUCGGUGGUAGGUUCACGAGAUGUUACAGUGAACCUAGAGCGAUGCUUAUCCAUCUACCGCUGUCAGGUGCAUUAAAUGCACGUCUUGUCCUUGCCAGCAAUGUGCUGGUGAAGACAUGUGUCCAGGCGUUUCGACACCUGGACACCGCGCUGGCGCAAGCAGAAUGCGCUGGAACUUGGGGGCGGUGGCACAGGGCAGAAGCCCUCCAGUGCCUAACCUCAUCAUCCCGACAAGGGAGCUUGCUGGGGCCUUGGGUCUUUGUCCCGACAAGGAAGCUUGUCGGGGGCUUCGAUUGUCAUCCCGACAAGGGAGGCUUGCCGAGGUCUUGUACUUGGUGAGCUCAUCACGUCUACUAAACGGGCAUGGCCUUGGUUAUCUUCCCGGCAAGGCAGGUGUGACAGCCCGGGACCGACGCUCCAGAAGAUUACCCUCUUUUCCAUUGUCGCCAUGUUAUUUUUUUCCGCAUUCGUCAUCACAUCAUUCGCAUCAUCCGCAUUACAUCGGCACUCCGUUGCCGCCAGUUUUCAAAACUGCAUCCGUUAUUAGUUGUCGGUUCUCUCCGUUUUAUCGUUGACCGUUUGAGACCAACCACACAGCACGCGCCCGCGACAUCGUUAAACUCUGUCACCGGGUUGUCGUUUUCCCUCUCGUCCCCACCUAGCCCCUCUUCACAGUGCACCGACCCUAUGCGCAGCCUAGUCUGAAAACCUCGCGAAACCAGAGCCGGGUGCUGGUGACCGUUGGGUCGAGAUCAACCCGGUUUUACUGCAAAUCGUCAUCGGUUUGUCCAUUGGUCAUCCUAACCUAAUUAUAUUGGCCGUCUGAUCUAAAUCGGAGGGCUCUAAUUAGACCCCAUUUAGUUUUGUUUGCUAUUUAUAUGUGAUUUAUCCCAACCUACCCUAACCCUAGGCUAUUCAGUCCCAUCCGUCGCCGCCGCAUACCACCUGGUCUCCUCCUUCCUCGGUUUCCAGAUCCAGCCAACCAGCGAGCUCCCUUGUGCCCGAUGGCAAUCUCUAGCAAUGGCUAGACGACUCCUAUUCUCGAUUUCUCAACAAUUAGAAAUUUUCUUGCAAUUACCCACCAGCGCGUGGGAUCGAGGCAGUUUUCGAGGGUAGAGUAUUCAACCCAAAUUUGUUGGUUCGCCAAUAGGAAGUGAGAGGACACUCUCAAGUAUUAGCAGCUAGAUGUGUCAGAUUUAACCACACCUGAAAGAUUAAUAUCUGCAAGCAAAGUAUCAACAGCAAAGUAGUAUGAUAACAACGGUGUCAGAAACGAUCUGUUGACGGCAGACUAUUCCUAACUGUCGUAUCAAUGGUGCUAGUAGUUGCUCGUUGACGGAAAUUGUCUUUUCCCGUCAACGCCGAGCGAAUCAGAAUUGUAGCAGGUAGCACAGUGUAACGAGUAGUAGCAGUGGCAAUGAACAACAGUAGUGACAGCAGUAGCAAGUAGCAAUAGUGGCAAGUAAUAGUAGAGCAAGUAACAGCAGCAGCAACACUAGUAACAGUAGCAGAGCAAAACAAGUAACAACAGCAAUGGGACAAACUCGUAGGCAAUGGGUCGGUGAUUUGUUUGGAUGAUAUUCAUCAUGCAACAGUUAUAACAUGGAGAGAUAUGUGGCUAGCUCCCGUUCGUUAAUGUGAUGUAGGCAUGCAUUCCAUGUGUCGUCAUACGUGCUUAGGGAAAAGAACUUGCAUGACAUCUAUUGUCCAUCCCUCUCGUGGCAGCGGGGUCCAAAAGGAAACUACGGGAUAUUAAGGUUCUCCUUUUAAUAAAGAACCGGACCAACGCAUUAGCACUUGGUGAACACAUGAACUCCUCAAACUAUGGUCAUCACCGGGAGUGGUUCCGGUUAUUGUCACUCCGGGGUUGCCGGGUCAUAACACAUAGUAGGUAACUACAACUUGCAAGAUCGGAUCUAAAACACACAUAUAUUGGUGACAACAUAAUAAUUUCAGAUCUGAAAUCAUGGCACUCGGGCCCUAGUGACAAGCAUUAAGCAUGGCAAAGUAGUAGCAACAUCAAUCUCAGAACAUAGUGGAUACUAGGGAUCAAUCCCCGUCAAAACUAACUCGAUUACAUGAUAGAUCUCAUCCUACUCAUCACCGCCCAGCGAGCCUACGAAUAGAUUACUCACGAACGAUGAAGAGCUUCAUGGAAUUGGAGAGGGAAGAAGGUUGAUGAUGACAAUGGCGACGAUUUCCCCUCUGUGGAGCCCAAAACAGACUCCAGAUCUGCCCUCCAGAUGAAGAACAGGAUGUGGCGGCGCCUCCGUAUCGCAAACGCGACGAAAUCUUCUCUUUUUUAUUUUUUCUGGGACGAAAGUGAAUUUAUAGAGCUGAGUUUGGGGGCGGCAGAGCCACGUGGGCCCCACAAGCUUGCUAGCCGCCACCAGGGGGUGGCGGCCACAGGGCUUGUGGCCCACUGGCCCAUCCCCUGCGGUGGAUCUUUGUGCAGGUAUUUUUCAUAUUUUCCAGAAAUAUUCUCCGUAAAUUUUCAGGACGUUUUGAGAACUUUCAUUUCUGCACAAAAACAACACCAAGGCAAUUCUGCUAAAAACAACGUCAGUCCAGGUUAGUUCCAUUCAAAUCAUGCAAAUUAGAGUCCAAAACAAGGGCAAAAGAGUUUGGAAAAGUAGAUACGAUGGAGACGUAUCAGUGCCCGAGCCAACCCAAUUCACCAACAUCCACCCAUGGAGACCGUGCUGCCUCCGCCGGAGCACCACCAUAGGUGAGCUCCCGUCAACCUCUUCCUCCCUCUCCUGUGUAUCUCUUCUUCCUCUCCUUCUCUCAUGGUUCUCUCGCUCUGUGCAGUAGUAACGCAAGCCACCUUCGGUCGCACGCAGCAGCCGUCGGAGCCCCUCCCAGCCGGAUCCACAACCUCGUGCCGCCGUGACCUCGCCCGUCGCCCGACCCGGACCGUCGCAGCCACCAGGGCGUGCCCCACGCGCAUCCUGCUCAUCACGCACCAAGGAGCUCGCGUUCCUAUUCGCGCCUCCUCCGUGAUAGGCUGCCGCCGUCUCCGCGCCACAGUACGCAGGAGCCUUGCCGCACCGGCCGCCGCUGGCGACCACCUGCUGGACGUGCGCCUUCCCGCGAGUCUCCGCGUGCAGCCGCUGCCUAGGCUGCCUUCCUUGAGCGCUGUCGCGAGCACAGCCAAGCUGACCCGGUAUAGCUUCAGAUUCAGAUGUGUUGUGUUUUCAGUUUUAUUCAGUUAGCGUCAGGGUAUCUUCAUCUUUUGCAAAACCCGUUUUAAAUCAUAGUUCCUUCGUAGACCAGUUGGUUAUUGCGCUCGCUCGCUCGUUACCAUGAGAUCCUAGGUUUGAGUCCGAGGCACUCCUAUUUUUUUGUGUGUGGUAUUUUCAUGUUGCACACGUUACACCUAGCCCGCACCUGUACCUUAGCCACGAUCACAGGUCUAGCCUAGUGGCGAGCGCCACACAUUUCUACUCAGUAGACCAAGGUUCGAAUCCCCGGCUACACACAUAUUUUUUUUACUACAGCGAGCCCAACAUAUUAGUGUGUUUCUGCACUUUUGUUGCAGCAUACGUAUCUGCAUAUUUAGAGUAAUGCCACUAUUUUAAAACGUCCAUAACGUUUCAGCCAUGCAUCGGACCGGAGUGAUUUAAAUAUGUAACUUGACUAAAAUUUCGCGUAGAUUAACAAUUUCCAACUUUCAUGCAUGUUUAAGGCUGUUAGCGUGCUGUUUGUGUCGGUUUGCAUGCCAACAUGUUAAAAACAGUUUAGGUCGUAGUUAAUUAACCGUCGCUCCGUUGGAGAUGAUCUAUAUAUGUAAAUCGAGUAGAACAACGUGUAGAAUCUCAUGCUCCACUUUUUUCGUUGUUUAACAAAUAUAAAAUGUGAUUAGGAAAAAUCUGGACAGAAUUAGAAAUUAACGCGUGUGGUCAUUUCGGAGAUGAUAUAAGUUGUUUCCGGCCUCAUUUAAAAUUCCUAGAUAUGUAGAUUAAUUUGUGCUUCACCCCUUGCCAUGUUAACAUCAUUUUAAUAUUGUCGUGUUCCUAAACAGGAGUGAACUAAACAAUUAAACGUGGAGUUUCGUCGAUAUGCAACUCGUUGCAUAUCGAGCUACACUUAAUGUGUAGUGUUUGCGUGAGGUGAAUUGCCAUGUCAUGCCUUGCAUUAUUGAACUGAUCAUGCAUCAUAUUAGGUUGUGCAUCAUGUCAUUCAUUUGUUGUGGUGAAUAACUGUGUUGAUGCUUGUUUUCCGUUUGCUCCGUCUCGAUAGAGUUCCGCAAGCGUGUCAGAAUAUGAGGACCCGUUCGACUAUGUCGGUUCGCCUGCUUCAUGGAAGCAUUCUUCUUCCAAGAGGGAUCUCGGGCAAGAUGACCAUUUCCCCAGAUAUCAUUACUAUCAAUGCCAUGCUAGUUGUAUCGCUUCUAUGACUAUGUCUCGUUGCCUACCACCUGUUAAACGUCAGGCUCUCAACAUUGCCAUGAAACCUUCAACCUAUUCACAACCUAGCAAACCACUGAUUGGCUAUGUUACCACAUGCUUAAGCAUGUGUUAGCAUUGCUAUUGCAGGUGCAGAUGCUUCCUUGUGAUAACAUGGGUUCGUUGUCAUAUCAGUCUAUUAAUUGCUAAUUAAAUUAGUGCACCUAUAUACUUGGUAAAAGGUGGAAGGCCCGGCCUUUCUAGCUUGGUGUUUUGUUCCACCUUUGCCCCCUUAGUUUUGGCUACAGGUGUUAUGUUCCAUAACUGAGGGCUCCUAACAAGAUCGGGGUUGUUAUGGGGACCCCCAACUUUGGUACUACAUUUGCCUAAUAACUAACGAACCGCAUAGGGAGUAAUUAACCCGAGGAAACUUAAUCAACCCCCGGGCCAGUGCUCCUUAUGAGUGUUGGUCCAACCCAGAGCAUUGUGCGGGGCCAACCUAGGGCAACUUGGGUGAUUUCUAUCAGGCCACCGUACACGUAGCUUAUCCGUCGUGUCGUGAGAACAAGAUACGCGGCUCCUAUCGGGAUCGUCGACACGUCGGGUGGCCUUCCUAGAUUAGUUUUACCUUUGACAAAAUAUCUUGUGCAUCAGGAUUCCGGUGAGACUUUGGGUAAUCUCAGAGUUGGGGUUUCCCACUAAGGAAUCCGAGGAGAUCACGAGUUUCAUGAUUGAGGUUUUCUAUGCGUCUUGUGGUAAUUUGUAAUGGACUAGUUGGAGCACCCCUGCAGGGUUAAGUCUUUCAGAAAACCGUGCCCGCGGUUAUGUGGCAACGUGGAAAACCUCCUCCAGGGCAAGAACGGGAUGUGGCGGUGCUUCUGGAUCGAAAACGCGAUGAAAUCUUCUCUCUUGAUUUUUUUCCGGGACAAAAGGGAAUAAAUAGCGCUGGAAUUGGGGGCGGCAGAGCCACGUGGGCCCCACAAGCCUGGUGGCCGCAGCCAGGGGGGAGGCCGCGGCCACAAGGCUUCUGGCCCAUUCGCUCGUCCCCUCUGGUGGAUCUUUGCGUAGGUAUUUUUCAUAUUUUCCACAAAUAUUCUCCGUAAAUUUUCAGGACGUUCCGAGAACUUUCAUUUCUGCACAAAAACAACACCAUGACAAUUCUGCUGAAAACAGCGUCAGUCCGGGUUAGUUCCAUUCAAAUCAUGCAAAUUAGAGUCCAAAACAAGGGCAAAAGAGUUUGGAAAAGUAGAUACGAUGGAGACGUAUCAUAGUUCCUAUUUGCAAUAAUAAGAACAUCAUUGAUCCUUCCCAUGGGUUUCUUGAUAGUAGAAUCCGCAAGAUUCAAAUUAAGGGAACACUCUUCAAUCUCAUUAAAACCCAGAACAUCACAUAAAGACUUUGGAAUCGCGGAAACACUAGCACCCAAAUCACACAAAGCAUUGCAUUCAUAGUUUUUGAUUUUGAUUUUCAUAGUAGGUUCCCACUCAUCAUGAAGCUUUCUAGGGAUAGAGACUUCCAAUUCAAGUUUAUCUUCAAGAGAUUUUAUCAUAGCUUCAACGAUAUCAUCGGUAAAGGCCUUGUUUUGGCUAUAAGCGUGUGGAGAGUUUAACAUGGAUUGCAUCAAGGAAAUGCAUUCAAUCAAGGAGAAACUAUCAUAAUUGAAUUCCUUGAAGUCCAAGGUAGUAAUUUCAUUACUACUCAAAGUUUUAAUAUCUUCUACUCCACUUUCAAUGCUUCUAGCAUCAAGAUAGAUGGACUCCAAAUCAUUGGGGCACUUUUCAACCAAAGUGGAUUCAUAUCCAGCCCCAUCAUCAUUAGGUUUGACACAAGAAAACAAAGAUUCAAUGGGAGUCACACCAAGCACUUUAAGAUCUUCGUGAUUCUCGUCACGAGUUUCAGGUUUAGCAGCCAUUUUAUUGACUAAAGUAGCCUGCUUAUCAUAAAUCUGGCCUACCAACUUUUCAAGACGAGCAAAUUGAGAAUUUAGCACAAGGAAUUAUUUGGCCAUAUCAUCAACCUCUCUACUCAUAAAAGGCAGAAAAGAAUUUUGCUCCUUCAAUUCUCUACGAAAGUAACUGUUGUAUUCAAACUAUGUAGACAUGAAGCCUUUAACACUAGUUUCAAUAUCUUCUAACUUCGCAUAGUGAGCAUCAAAAUCCCUUGGUUGGGCCAUUCGGGUUUUAGCAAGCAGACAAACGGGCAAAGAGCAAGCGGGAAAAAGGGCGAACGAAAAGGCAAACGGAAAAAAGGCAAACGAAAAAGGCAAAUUGGUGAAGUGGGGGAGAGGAAAACGAGAGGCAACUCACAAACAAAGUAAAUGCAAGAGAUGAGUUUGCGACACUUACUUGGAUGAGUUCUUGACUUGAUCCUCCCCGGCAACGGCGCCAGAAAUUCUUCUGCUACGGCAACAAAAGUCCUUCCCCGGCAACGCCAGGAAUUCUUCUUGCUACUUCUCUUGCUUGCGUCGGUUUUCCCUUGAAGAGGAAAGGGUGAUCCAGCACAGGAGCAGUAAGUAUUUCCAUCAGUUUGAGAACCAAGGUAUCAAUCCAGUAGGAGAAUCUUGUCAAGUCCAGAGUACCCGCACAAACACAAAGAGCUUGCACCCAACGCUAUAAAGGGGUUGUCAAUCCCUUCAAGAUUGAUUGCAAAGUGAGAUCUGAAGGCGGAAAGUGCAACAAAGGAAAAGUGUAAGGCUGAAAAUAUGGUGUGGAGUAGACCCCGGGGCCAUAGUGUUCCCUAGAGGCUUCUCUCAAAAUAGCAAAUAUUACGGUGGGUGAACAAAUUACUGUGGAGCAAUUGAUAGAACCGNUCCAUGAAGAUCAUGGAGAACUUUGUAUUGAAGAUCCAAGAGAGAGAAGAAGCCAUCUAGCUACUAGCUAUGGACCCGUAGGUCUAUGGUGAAGUACUCACGCAUCAUCGGAGAGGUCAUGGUGUUGAUUAAGAAGCCCUCCGUAUCGGAAUCCCCCCUUCGGCAGGGCACCAGAACGUGCCCCAGAUGGGAUCUUGUGGAGACAGAAGCUUGCGGCGGUGGAAAAGUACUUUCGAUGAUCUCCUAAUUUUUUUUGGAAUUAUUGGGAAUAUAUAGGCAAAAGACCUAGGGCAGAGGUGGCCCAGGGAGCCCACAAGCCUGGGAGGCGCGGGCCCCCCUGGCCGCGGCUAGGGGGCUUGUGGGGUACCUGGUGGCCCCCUGCCUUGGUUCUCAAGUUUCCCGAUCUUCUUCUGUUUCGGAAAAAAUCUUUUUGGAAGUUUCGUUCCGUUUGGACUCCGUUUAAAAUCCUCCUCUGAAAGGGGUCAAAAACACGGAAAAAACAGGAACUGGCACUUGGCACUGAGUUAAUAAGUUAGUCCCAAAAAGAUAUAAAAGGCAUACAAAACAUCUAAAGUUUGACAGGAUAAUAGCAUGAAACCAUCAAAAAUUAUAGAUACGUUGGAGACGUAUCACCGCGGCUUAUCUUCAAACAACACCACACGUCCCCCCUCCUCCACAGUCCCCAAUCUACAGCCCCCCCAUCCUGCUCGAACUCUAGAUCACCGCCGGCGCCACUGCCGACGCCUCCAACCCCUAUCGGUCUGCCCGUGCCUCUGAGCUUAGAUAAUAAAGUUUAGGUUACCCAACGACUCCCAUAUCGUCGCCCCCUGAGUCUUUAGAUGAGACCUGCGAUGUCCCUCCCAGCCAGAUCCACAUACCCUACUCUAGACAGUCACAGCCUAAGCCCGACCACGUAUCCCGGGGAGCCCGACGAGUGUUCGGCCAAAAAUAGGCUUAUCAUGGCCUCUUCAGUGGACGUUGGCCAGCUGACCGUCAUUCGUCUUGACUUGUCGAUCCCGGAGCAGCACCUCAUCACGGAAGCCGGUGAGUAUGUUGACUACGUUGCCAUGCCGAAGGCUUCACGUCAGCAAUCUAGCUUAUUAUCGCAUCUCUGGAAAGCUGGCUACGAUAUCGAGCUCAUCGAUAGCGACGUCUUCACACGGGCCAUGUCACAGGUUAAGUAGUCCAUCCCAAACCCCUCUGCUUCUGCCGCCGUUAAUCUCUUCGAAGGCCCUGUCACUGAUCUCCUCCACCACGUCGUCAAGGAUUUGUGAUCCUUGCGUGCCAUUGAGCCCAUUUUGUCAUUUCUGAAGGACACGUUGUGCAUCGACGGCUUGGGAUCCUCAAUUUCUAAGUCAGAUCUCAUCGACCACAGCCAUGAGGAGGGCACCCACAAAGGGUCUUCCAAGGUGAAACGACGCAUCUACGACAUCAGAGAGCGCACCAUGGGUGUGUGCUCUUCCAACUGGAAGGAUCCUGUCCAUGAUAAGUGAGGCAAUAUCCUAUCAGCAAAUGUUACUUUUUCUAACUAGUCAAACCGUACCCUUUGUUGUAGUACAUUUUGCCAUGCGGUGUUUUAACUGUGGCGUGUUUAAUUAUUUCAGUUAUGCAAAAAUGUAAUGUUUAAUAGGGCUAUGUGAUGUUUAAGUAUGAAUUGUACACUUCAGUUUCACAAAUGGCUAUAUUUGGUUGUUUAUAGUGAGUUCAUGCCUUGUUUAUCUGUAUUUGGUUGUUAGGUUGCUUGCUGUGAGCAUUUGUCCAGUUUUCAAGCAGAUGCCUUUUUUAUCUGUAUUUUCUUGUUAGGCUGGUUGCAGUGAGCAUUUGUCUAGUUUUCAAGCAUAUGCCAUGUCUAUUUGUAUUUGCUUGUUAGGUUGGUUGAAGUGAGCCUCUGUCCAGUUUUCAAGGGCUAUAUUUGGUUGUUAUACUGAUCAUGUAUGCCUUGUUUAUUUCAGUUAUUCACAAUGUGAUGUUCAUUAUGUGCAAGUCGGAACUAUGCAGUUUGAUUUCAUCAAUACGAGUCAAACGAGUAUAUUUAGUUCUUACUAUAUUUAUAGUGACCGUUUGUCUAGUUUUCAAGCAUAUACUACACAUGUUGUUUAGUUCAAUUUUACACAUUUAUCUAGUGUGAUGUUUAAGCAUGAGCUAUGUUCUAUUCAUUUUCAACAAUACCAGUUUGAAUUGCAAUAUUUGGUGGUUGUUAGGCCUCUUGUAGUUAACAUUCCCUUCCAUUUCAUAUCCACUUUACCAUUUGGCGAUGAUGUUGUUUACCUUAGAUAUAUUUGUUUGAUGUUAAGGUUGAUGUACUUAUCAUACCUUUCCACUACUUAUGCAGGACAACAACGGGAGUGGCUAGCAUUUUCCACCGAGGUUACUUUCAUCCCUCGGCUUGUACUCCCUCGUCGUUGCAUAAUGUAGUGCAUAUAGAUCCAGGCCUCGACACUUUUUAGCUUCUAAUAUUGACUUGUUGCUUGUAGGUACAUAUGUCAUUAGCAAAGAUCCAUGCAUCGAACCUUUUUGCGUUUGAGGCAAUGAUUUAUUCAUGAACCAGCAUCAAGCGAGGAAAUUGAUAAGGAUUAUUAGCAAAAAGAUACGAACGGUGGCAAUCAUAUUAUUUCUUAUGGUCUAUCCAACACAAAAGUGAGCUGUAGGAUGGUAACUACGUACUCUCAAGCCUUAUCUUUUUUACUGCCCAUAAUGUGUUAUUACACAACAAUAUCUGAAUCUUUUUCAUUUGUAGUGAUUCCCAAAGUAGUUUACUCAAGAUUACAUCGCAAAGUACAUGAUUGGUCGACAUGCAAUGAAGGUUAAAGUAUUUCAUCGAGACUACAAUGAGAAUCAAGAAGUCCUAGUGAAGACAGUGAAGGAUGGGCGGCAACCAUCACAAGGGGUUGGCCUAGAGUCGUGCACACAUUACGCAUAGAGGAGGGCACAUCAUGGGCAUUCUGCUUCACCUUCUCCACCAACCAGAAUGUCCUUCGCCUCUCUCUUUAUAGUCUUUAGUACAACUGUGGUUCAUCAUUCUUUAGCUGGUGUUUUAACAUGGUUCGGUAUGAAUUAUGCAUUCGUGCUUGAACCUAUAUUUGUAAUAAACAUGGUUCAAUAUGAAAUAAGUGAUUACCU